Molecule: ribosomal RNA, 1250 nt
Filed under: metagenome
Description: bacterial LSU rRNA
Rfam family: Bacterial large subunit ribosomal RNA
Source: RNAcentral
UGAGUACGAGAUGCUACGGCAUCGAAGCAGUCUAUGUCAUACUUCCAAGAAAAGCUUGCACUGUCAGAAACAGAUAAUGCCUGUACCAUAACCGACACAGGUGGGUAGGUAGAGUAUACUAAGGGGCGCGAGAUAACUCUCUCUAAGGAACUCGGCAAAAUGACUCCGUAACUUCGGGAGAAGGAGUGCCUUAUUUUUAAGGUUGCAAUAACAAGAUCCAAGCAACUGUUUACCAAAAACACAGGUCUCCGCUAAGUCGUAAGACGAUGUAUGGGGGCUGACGCCUGCCCAGUGCCAGAAGGUUAAAGAAGUCGGUUAGCAUUCGCGAAGCUGGUAACUGAAGCCCUGGUGAACGGCGGCCGUAACUAUAACGGUCCUAAGGUAGCGAAAUUCCUUGUCGGGUAAGUUCCGACCCGCACGAAAGGCGUAAUGAUUUGGAUACUGUCUCGGAGAGGGGCUCGGUGAAAUAGACUUGUCUGUGAAGAUGCGGACUACCUGCACCUGGACAGAAAGACCCUAUGAAGCUUUACUGUAACUUGAAAUUGAAAUUGGACUUUAUUUGCGCAGUAUAGGUGGAGGCGUUGAAAAUAUUCUUGCGGGAAUAUUGGAGCCAUCAGUGAGAUACCACUCUUGUAAUGUUAGAUUUCUAACUUUAUAUCAUUAUCUGGUUAAAGAACAGUUUCAGGCGGGCAGUUUGACUGGGGCGGUCGCCUCCCAAAUGGUAACGGAGGCGCACAAAGGUUUCCUCUGAACGGGUAGAAAUCGUAUCUAGAGUGUAAAGGCAUAAGGAAGCUUGACUGUGAGACCUACAAGUCGAGCAGGGACGAAAGUCGGUCUUAGUGAUCUGACGGUGCUGAGUGGAAAGGCCGUCACUCAACGGAUAAAAGUUACUCUAGGAUAACAGGCUGAUCUCCCCCAAGAGUUCACAUCGACGGGGAGGUUUGGCACCUCGAUGUCGGCUCAUCGCAUCCUGGGGCGGUAGUACGUCCCAAGGGUUGGGCUGUUCGCCCAUGAAAGCGGUACGCGAGCUGGGUUCAGAACGUCGUGAGACAGUUCGGUCCAUAUCCGGUGUAGGCGUUAGAAUAUUGAGAGGAGCCUUCUUUAGUACGAGAGGACCGAGAAGGACAUACCUCUGGUGUACCAGUUAUCGUGCCAACGGUAAACGCUGGGUAGCUAUGUAUGGAGUGGAUAACCGCUGAAAGCAUCUAAGUGGGAAGCCCACCUCAAGAUAAGUAUUCUCAUCAAAAAAA